Molecule: microRNA precursor, 99 nt
Filed under: Pan paniscus (pygmy chimpanzee)
Lineage: Eukaryota; Metazoa; Chordata; Mammalia; Primates; Hominidae
Description: miRNA (ENSPPAG00000012764.1)
Source: RNAcentral
UGAGGCAGAGAAUUGCUUGAACCCAGGAAGUGGAGAUUGCAGUGAGCCGAGAUCGUGCCACUGCACUCCAGCCUGGGUGACAGAGCAAGACUCCAUCUC